RNAcentral lists this long non-coding RNA (2220 nucleotides) under Scleropages formosus (Asian bonytongue). RNAcentral describes it as "lncRNA (ENSSFOG00015026259.1)". The record is from RNAcentral. Lineage: Eukaryota; Metazoa; Chordata; Actinopteri; Osteoglossiformes; Osteoglossidae.
AGAGAAAACACCAAGAGAUGAUCAUGAUGAUACCAAAAUUCAGUUGCAUCUGCAAAAUAUGGGAGAGAAAGUAGCGCCGAGUUCAGGGUUGUUUCUGAAUUGUUUCUACCUUGGCUUGAAUCCUUCUCCUGCUGUACUGUAUUGAUCAGAGCAUUUAGCCCGAAUUGUUGCAGAAACAAUAUUCUAUGGGUAAAUCAAUGUAAAGUUACAGACAAAAAGGCGUUAGCUACAUGCACAACUCGUUACCGUCGAUGUUGAACGUACAUACAUAACAAUAGGUAGCAUAAAAUGAGACUUGCAUCCGCUUCAGUUGAAUAAUAGAGCGUUUCUUCACCGCAAGUGGUUCUUUCUGCUAUUGAAAUGACUGUACAUAACCGAGCGACACAUUUCUAGUGUUUUUUUGUUUGGCAUUUGAUUUGUCGCCCUUUUUACAGGAAAACGCAGCUGACGGAGCUGAGUGUGUAUUCACGUCAGACAGAAAGUGUGCUUAUUCUUUAUUAACUCUGCGCGGAGAGAUUAUGCGAAUAACGGAUAAAGCGGGCUACUUAUUGCUACUUAGAAGUGUAGUUUGGUAAAUUUGUACUUUUGUUCAAGCAAGGGGGUGAAUAAAAAAAAAAAAAAAAAAAAAAAAAAAAAAAAAAAAAAAAAAACUGCGGCUUUAGUCUAGUAGUAUAGUAAGAUGAGGCGGACACAUACUCUGCAACAGCGACGGAGAGCAGCUCCCUCCUUCACUCUCUUCCUCACUUCUUUUCCACCCUGGCUGAGAUCCCCAAAUUUAGUGAGUCCAGUCCAGUUCAGUCCAGUCAAAUCAAGUCCAGUCCAGUCUAGUCCAGUCCGGUCCGGUCCGGUCCGGUCCGGUCCACUUUCCUACACGCUGUGCAUUCUGCGAGGCGUCGGGGAUGCGCCGUUCGACAGCUCACACUGGCUCUGUCUCGUGACUCCUCCUGGAAGUGGAAGCGGGAAAAACGUAGUCCAAAGGUUUUCUAUUCUUCUUCUUCUUCUUCUUCACACAGCAGCCCCUGCCCUCUGCGCUGCCCCCGCUUCACUCUGCAGACGCAGCGGGUUUCGACUUCCUGAAGCUUCCCGAGCGCGCGGCGAGUUCCUCCCUGAGCAGCCGACGCUCCUCGUGUGCCUGUCGCCGCCGUUCCGCGUUCCCGCCAACUGGGCUGCUCGUCCUCGUUUGACACGUCACACUGCGCGCUUUUCUACAAAGAACCUACACAAGAAAAACAAACUGGGGCAUAACAACAACUGAAGAGAGGGAGAGGGCAGCCACUCAUGUCAUGGGUGGAAAAUCCAUCAGCUCAGUGGCAAGAGACAGAAAUAUUGACAGGUCAACUCUGAAGAGGUAUGAAUUCAAAGAAGAGAGCUUGUGACUGUGGUCUGUGCAGUCAAUGCAACUGGGAAUGCAGUCCCUCCCAUGUUUAUAUUCCCAAAAGUUAGAUACAAAGACCACUUCAUUACAGGAGCACCUCCAGCAUCAGCUGGUACCUCCACCAGAUCUGGCUGGAUCAAUGAAGACACCUUUGUUGAGUUUCUUGAACAUCUGGUUAACACCAAGUGCCCCUCUGACCAGCCUAUGCUGCUAAUCCUUGAUGACCAUGAGGCACACAUUUUACUGAGGGCACUGGAAGUUGCAAAACAAAAGGUAUUGUCAUGCUCACAAUUCCACACCAUACUUCACAUCACUUGCAGCCUCUGGACAAGUGUGUUUAUGGUGCAUUUCAGACCUAUUACAACAGAGCUCUUGAUAGUUGGGUGAGAUCAAACCUAGGCAAAAUAGCCAUUAUAUACAAAAUCCCUGGAUGUGUCAGCAAUAACACCAUAGACUAUUUCUUCUGGAUUCAAGUUCACAGGGAUUUUCCCUUACAACAUAUUUUCUGUGUUUGAGCCAUCCAUGGCAUCAGAGAGGGCAAACUCUUAAGCUGCAGUCUGCUGCUCCAGAUGAUUCACCCAUGGUUUGAACCUCCAGCUCUGUGGAGCUGCCUUCACCAUGCCCUACACAUCCAAGUGUUCCACCAAGCCAGCCAGAUUCGGAACCCAAACUUACCUGAUGUGUCUCCUACUGAAAUUCUACCCUUACCCAAAAGUCAGCAUCCCAGGACACAAACAAAAUGAAAGUGCAUAAAAACAAGGAUACUGACUGAAACACCUGAAAACCAGGCAAUUGAAAGGGUUCAACAAGAGAGUAAAAAUAAACAGGGGAAAAAAGUAUAAUCA